AUGCCCAGAGUCCAAAAGCUCGUGAUAGGGUUCAAUUCAAGCAAAUGGAAACCACAUACCUUUGGAACUGCUGGCUUCUGUCACUUAACAGGCCUUACAGAGGUCUCUGUAAAACUUGGGACCUGGGGUACUGAUGAAUUGGACAUUAACGAUGCCGAGUCUAAAUUGGUGACCGCAGUUAGCAAUCACACGAAUUCUCCUAUAAGCAGAGUACAAUUCGUAGAUAUGAUUUCCUAUGGUGUGGAUGAUAAGAGAACUGCGACUGAAGAAAAACGUGGGGGCGGGGGUGUUGAUAAAUUCGGCAUGAAAGCUGCCAAGUCUGCAUCAUACUCUCGCAUAAGCAAUCACAUGAACUCUUCAAUAAACAGUUCACAAUGGUCUGAUGUGAUUUCUUGUGGCAGUGGGAAUAAGAGUAGCAUAGCUGAAGAAGUGGAGGAAAAGCUACACCAGAUUCGAGACCGACAGAAAAAGAAGAGGGAAAGAUCGGUGGAACAGCCAUCUGUUCUAUCUUUUUUUCCUGAAAAAGAAGUUGAAAAGCCAUAUGAAAUUGAAUAUCGCAAUAAAAAGAUCAAAUAUUUGGAGGAACGCGUGCACAAGCCAUUAGUAAAUACCAGAUAUGUGAGAAAAGAUGGUGCUUCCACUCCUCUGAAGCAUCGCACACAAUCAGCCAACCUUGUGACGGGUGCCUUUAGCUCCCUCCUCCCCAAGAUCCUGGAGCUCCUCAAUGACAAGUACGAUCUGCGGAUGGACAUAAAAAAAAACAUCGAGUCCCUCUACAAGGAGCUGGAGGGUAUGCAAGCUGUCCUCCAUGACUUGGCGAGGAGGGAACAGGCUCAACUGGAUGCUGUGGUCAUGAUCUGGGCCAAGGAAGUAAGAGACCUCUCGUAUAAUGUGGAGGAUAUGAUCGAUUCCUUAACAGGGGAAGAGAUAAGAGGCUUGUCCGAGAAGACCCCGUUCUUCUUCCUCGUGAACGACACUGACUUCAUCUAUGAGAACAGGGAAAAGGUCAUCAAUGAGAUCAGGGAAAAGGUCAAAGGUGUGGCCAGCCGACGUGAGAAGUACAAGGUUGAUGACCGGAUUGUUGCUGCUUAUCCAAAAGCCACAGAUAACGUUGAUCCUCCCCUGUUGGAUCUGUUCCAAGAGUCGGAAGAAGUUAUUGGCAUCGAAGCUCAAGUGGAAGAGGUGAUAAGGCAGCUGAAAGGACACGAUUGGGACAACAACAAUAACAAGCUGAAGAUAGUCUCCAUAGUUGGAAUGGCAGGAUCGGGCAAGACAACUCUUGCGAAAGCAAUUGCCAAAGCAGUUCCCAAAGAAGUGCUUCAUGAUACGGUUUUCGUUUCCGUAUCUCAGGAUCCCAACAUGAAGAGAGUUCUCAUGGACAUCCUCCUUCAAAUUGACGAGCGGGAGUACAGGAGUCUCACUGGAUCAACGUUCGAUGCAAAGCUGCUUAUAAAUAUAAUCCGGAGAGUAAUUGGGAGCAAGAGGUACUUCAUUGUUAUUGAUGAUAUAUGGGAUGUGAAGUCAUGGAAAUUUAUAAAGGAUGCUUUAGAUACUCGAUGUGGAAGUAGAGUAGUCAUAACCACAAGGCUUUUGGAAGUUGCUGUCAAUGCUGGUGAUGUUUACAAGCUAAAAGCACUUUCUCAUUCGCACUCUGGAGAAUUGUUUAAUACAAGAUUAUUUGGUGGCAAAGACAAUGUCCCUCGUGUCGUGCCGGAGGUACCUGAAAAGCUUUUACAGAAAUGUGGUGGUGUACCAUUAGCUAUCAUCACAAUGGCUAGUUUGUUUGCGAGGAAACCAAGGAACUAUUGCUCUAAGGUUUUUCCGGAGGACUAUUUAAUAACGGAAGAAACUUUGAUCUGGAAGUGGGCAGCCGAAGGUUUAAUUGUUGAGGAACCAGGAAGAGGGUUAUUUGAGAUUGGAGAUGGAUACUUCAAGGAACUCAUAGAUAGCAGCGUGGUCAUGCCAGUGGAGGAUGACUCAGAUUAUGGGACAAUUGUUGGUUGCCGUGUCCAUUACUUGGUUUUUGAUAUGAUCUGUUCCUUAUCAGCUAUAGAAAAUUUUGUUACCAUAGAGGAUGGAAGCAGUCAAUACUCUCUUAUUGAAAGCAAGCAGGCUCGCAGGUUAGGUAUCCAAAAGUGGACCACGGAGAACGGCGACCCUCUGGCUAACAUUGGCUCGAGAAGUCUGAGGUCAUUUAAUACCACGGGGUGUCGUUUUAGUGUGGAACUAUCACUUUCAAGGUUUAAGCUCUUGCGUGUCAUUGCUAUCGAAGAAUGCACAUUGCUUGAUGGCGAUCUUUCUCCUCUGGGGAAGUUAAUUUUGUUGAGGUACCUCGGACUAUAUCACACACUUAUCAAGAAGCUACCGGAAGACAUUGGUGAGCUAAUUUAUUUGCAGACACUGGACCUGAGGGGGACCAGGGUCCAUGGAUUGCCCUGGGAAGUUACUCAGAUAAGUCAGCUCAAGUGCCUGCGAGCUGAUGGAGACACAGCAAUGCCUUACGGGAUGGGAAAACUUACAUCCUUAGAAGAGCUGCGGCUGGGCGCGAUUGACACGUCGGCAGACUUUGUGGAUGGGUUGGGCAGACUGACAGAGCUGAGGGAGCUCGAGAUUCGGAUUAACCAGUUGGAUGUGAACGAGGCGGGAGCUUUGGUGCAGUCUCUGAAAAAACUAGAGAAAAUCCAAGUCCUAAGACUUGUGGGAUUUCCUUGGCCACCAUCUCGUGUUGACGAGCUCAACUGGGGAAACUUUGAUCCGCCUCAACAACUCCGUGAGUUGCAUCUAAGCAUCCCAUCCACUCGGCUGCCGGCGUGGGUUCACGUCUCCCGUGUUCCAAUGCUCUCACACUUAGUUGUGAGCCUCAAGUCUAAGGAGGAUCAGGAUUUGGAUAUUCUUGGUGCUUUGCCAGAGCUCAGUAGUCUGCAGCUGGUGCUGCCGUCGAAAGUGGUCCUCAGCAUCACUGGUCGUUCCGGUGCAUUCCCGAGGUUGAGAAAGUGGAAGUGGAAAUAA
Molecule: ribosomal RNA, 3009 nt
Filed under: Triticum aestivum (bread wheat)
Lineage: Eukaryota; Viridiplantae; Streptophyta; Magnoliopsida; Poales; Poaceae
Description: partial small subunit ribosomal RNA
Source: RNAcentral